UGGGUCGUGGCGCGGCAGGUGAGCGCAUUCGCGUUAUGAACGUGGAUUCGCGCACCGUUCUGUUCGGGACGAUUUCCCC
This 79-nucleotide transfer RNA is filed under the name Antarctobacter heliothermus. RNAcentral's name for it is "tRNA-His". Lineage: Bacteria; Pseudomonadati; Pseudomonadota; Alphaproteobacteria; Rhodobacterales; Roseobacteraceae. The record is from RNAcentral.